GACCUCAAAUCAGGCAAGAAUACCCGCUGAACU
This 33-nucleotide ribosomal RNA is filed under the name uncultured Glomus. Its description in RNAcentral is "partial 28S ribosomal RNA". Lineage: Eukaryota; Fungi; Glomeromycota; Glomeromycetes; Glomerales; Glomeraceae. The record is from RNAcentral.